Molecule: long non-coding RNA, 376 nt
Organism: Oryzias latipes (Japanese medaka)
Lineage: Eukaryota; Metazoa; Chordata; Actinopteri; Beloniformes; Adrianichthyidae
Source: RefSeq, a predicted model, not a curated record
GGAACAUUGAACGCAGCACAGACUAAUCAGUAGAUUGCAAACACCUGGGAUUUUUAAAACCAGCAAGAAGUGAAGAAUCUUCUAAACUUCUCUGUCAUCAUCUGUGACAUUUGGGUCCUCCUCAUCAGAUGUGCGGUCCUCUUGAAGGUCACAUUGAGUCUCGUACUGAUCCUCAGAGACUUCCCCUUCAGCUUCACUUUCCUCCAUCUCUUCAGGAUCAUGACCGAAGAUGUGCUUCAUCCAGAUGGAACUGGGGGACGGCUGGGGGCGCGAGACGAGCUGGAGGCGAGGUCCACAGCCAAGGACAGGAGCACAGACGAGCCAAAUGGAAACUGUAAAAACAUUUCAUCAUUCAUCAUACAUUCAUUCAUCUUCU